Long non-coding RNA from Notolabrus celidotus (New Zealand spotty), 1019 nucleotides. RefSeq lists it as uncharacterized. The record is from RefSeq and is a predicted model, not a curated record. The transcript is spliced from 3 exons. Lineage: Eukaryota; Metazoa; Chordata; Actinopteri; Labriformes; Labridae.
CUCUAAGUCAAAAUCUUCUUCAUGAUGCUAAUUCAUAAAUCACAGUCCCAUUAAGGGUGAGAACAUGAGGAUAAAGAAGGGUGUGCACAGGGGUGUGGCUUGACUCACACUUCCUUCUUCUUCUGUGUUUCCUUGUAAAAGACUCUGCUGUUGAUUUUUUGGAACCUAUAUUUAACUGAAGGCCUUUUUAAGCGUUCCAAAAUUAGCAUCCAGAUGAAUAUUACAGCUGCUGUGAAUUAUGGAUGCACCUUCGCGAAUCAAACUCGUGUUGCAGCGAGUCGGUUUCACAGAACAUGUGGAGGAACGUGUCUGGGGCUCAGCUGUGGAGCAGGUCGUGCCACAUUUGGAAGAAUGGAGUGUGUCACUGCAGACCGUGAGAUCCAGCUGACGUCUCACCGUGAAGUAGAAGAGCUCCGUCUCCUGCUGGUUGGCCCGGCGUUUAGCCAGACUGGGUUUGUUCAAGUAGCCGUCCGACACGCUGGACUUCACCGACUCGGAGGACGGGCUGUGGGUGAAGCUCUGGGAGACGUCGUAGUCGUCCAGCACCGUCAUGUCCUGCAGGGUGGAUGCUGAGACAUGCAGAUGCAGCUCAUUAAUCCAGACUGGUUCAGCAUUUUUAUGCCCUUCAGGAUGAGUCAACAGCUGCCCUCUGAGCACACGGCGCUCCAGUCUGCCCCGCGACAACGACCACGACAGGACGCCUCAGCCUGCCUCACCGAGACGCUCCGGGGUGUUUGUUUUUAGAGGAUACAUCUGCUGCAUUAUCGUCCCAUUAGACCCGGAUAAAUUACCAUAACACUGAGGAAACUUUGGAGCUGACGGGGAAACGCUGAAGUCUUAAUCAGAGGGAUGUUUGACCACAGAGGAAACGUUCUGUUUUCAGAUCCAUCACACAGAUUAUUGGACAAACUGAUGGAGGAGCUGGAGCAGGAACUGAAGGUCUGCAGGGGAUAGAUCCAGAAGUGUUGUCCUGGUUUCAGACCUUAAUUAACGUCCAUGUCUCCAGCAUUUCUUAACCA